AUGCUGGAGAGAAGGCACUGGAAUGUUUCUGAAUCAAACCAUUGUGUACUUUGUCCAACACACACCAAAGAGGAUAGAGAUCACCUAUUCUUUCAAUGUAAUUUCAGUUGUAGGGUCUGGAAUUAUCUUCAAAUCAACUGGAUGGCUGGAGAUGAUAUGGUUGCCAUUGCCUAUCAUGCUAGAAGGGAUUUUGCUAAGCCUUUCUUCUCUGAGGUGGUUUUCCUGGCAUGCUGGAACAUCUGGAAUGUCAGGAAUGAUAGGGUUUUUAGGAAUGUUACACCCUCUUUUCGUAGAUGGAGGUCUUCUUUUAUUCUAGACAUUUCCCUUUUGGUUCAUAGAAUUAAGCCUAAGUUCGAAGAGGACCUGCUUAGAUGGAUUUCCUUUUUGCCACCUUGA
This 396-nucleotide ribosomal RNA is filed under the name Triticum aestivum (bread wheat). Its description in RNAcentral is "partial small subunit ribosomal RNA". Lineage: Eukaryota; Viridiplantae; Streptophyta; Magnoliopsida; Poales; Poaceae. The record is from RNAcentral.